RNAcentral lists this long non-coding RNA (508 nucleotides) under Theobroma cacao (cacao). Its description in RNAcentral is "long non-coding RNA (TCAC_LNC004140)". Lineage: Eukaryota; Viridiplantae; Streptophyta; Magnoliopsida; Malvales; Malvaceae. The record is from RNAcentral.
UUUGGCUAAACCUUUCAUCUGACUUAAAGCUAGCAGCUGUUUGGGAAAAUUCUGAUAGAAAGAAGUACAGUACACGUAGCAAAAUUCAAGAUGACAACAACAUUUUGACCAAGCUGGCCUGUGUUUUCCUCAUGAUGCUAUAUCCAUCCUUCUCAAUUCUUUCCUUUGUAUGCACGUGGUGCUGGAAUAUGGGACUAUGGUGACUGACAGAGUCAGCAACAAUGACUAAACCAGAAAGCUGCCUCCAUAGAAUAUCAUUUCUUUAUUAGUAAAUUUCACUUGCUACUGUUUUUCUGAAAUUAAUUUUUUUUUCAUGACAUCUUGUGAUUUGAAUUGAGAAUGAUUUUAGUAGACAAAAUUAACCGCAAAACCACAAAAAAUAUAAGUGGAGUAUUGUAGCAAACAGUCCCAUUUCUCAUGUAAGAAUUGUCAAAGGACCGUAAGUCCAAAAUAUGGACAUGGGUUCUGAUAAACUAUGUAGACUAAAUGCAUGCAGUUGUGAAUGAAA